GCUGGCUGGCUGAGGCUGUAAACAAACUGUGCCGCAGAACCUUCCGCCCCCAAGAUGGUUCCUGGUGUCUGUGUGGAUUGCUGCAGCUCAGAAACCUUUGCCAUGGCAGAAGCUCCACUGAAAGUAAAGAUCGAGUGAUGGAAGCCUCAAAGAAGGUGUUGGGUCAAAUCCUACCAGAGGUAUUUUCUUUCUGGAUGUAGCUCUACUGGACCAAACUGAUACAAAGACUAGAGAAUAAGAGCUUCCAAACAAGUAAGUGUCUAAGUGUUAUAGCACUAUGCUUAUUAUUUCUUGCCUUUUUUAUUUCCUGGCUGAC
RNAcentral lists this long non-coding RNA (316 nucleotides) under Zonotrichia albicollis (white-throated sparrow). Its description in RNAcentral is "lncRNA (ENSZALG00000005638.1)". The record is from RNAcentral. Lineage: Eukaryota; Metazoa; Chordata; Aves; Passeriformes; Passerellidae.